GAUGAACGCUGGCGGCGUGCCUAAUACAUGCAAGUCGAGCGAACAGACGAGGAGCUUGCUCCUCUGACGUUAGCGGCGGACGGGUGAGUAACACGUGGAUAACCUACCUAUAAGACUGGGAUAACUUCGGGAAACCGGAGCUAAUACCGGAUAAUAUAUUGAACCGCAUUGUUCAAUAGUGAAAGACGGUUUUGCUGUCACUUAUAGCUGGAUCCGCGCCGCAUUAGCUAGUUGGGAAGGUAACGGCUUACCAAGGCGACGAUGCGUAGCCGACCUGAGAGGGUGAUCGGCCACACUGGAACUGAGACACGGUCCAGACUCCUACGGGAGGCCGCAGUAGGGAAUCUUCCGCAAUGGGCGAAAGCCUGACGGAGCAACGCCGCGUGAGUGAUGAAGGUCUUCGGAUCGUAAAACUCUGUUAUUAGGGAAGAACAAAUGUGUAAGUAACUAUGCACGUCUUGACGGUACCUAAUCAGAAAGCCACGGCUAACUACGUG
Molecule: ribosomal RNA, 497 nt
Filed under: uncultured bacterium
Lineage: Bacteria
Description: partial 16S ribosomal RNA
Rfam family: Bacterial small subunit ribosomal RNA
Source: RNAcentral